CUGUUUGUUACGUAUGCUGUAUGCAUUAGUGUAGAUGCACUUCAGCUGGGCCAUUGCCUGUUCCUCUGGCCCUGACAUUGUUCUCCCUGGCACACCUCUAACAAGCCUUAUUCCCUCCCCAUCCCCUUUCCUACCUAGUUUAAAGCCCCCUCAUUGAGCACUGCCAGCUCCUGUGCUAGUGUCUGUUUUCCCCUUUGAGACAGGUGGGACCCACCUGCAGUUAGUGGGCCAGGUGCCCACUAAAGCGCCCCGUGGUCAAAAUAAAUAAAUAAAUAAAAUUCUGUGUUGGCACUAGCCUCUGAGCCACCUGUUUAUCAGGUGGGCUUUCCGUGUCCUCUCUGUACUCCUCCCUGCUAUUGUAGGGAUGGAGGAAAGCGUGACCUGUACUCCUGUUCCAACUACUAAUUGUCCCAGUCCCCUAAAGUCCUGUUUGAUAGCCUUCAAGCUUCACUCUUCAAUAUCAUCUCUGCCAUCCUGGACUAUCAAAAGCGGAUAGUAGUCAGAGGGGUGAACCAGGUUGGGAAGCUGAAACAAAACACACAAAGUUCCUCUAAUUACAAUCCAACAGCAUUGAACUGAUGGGCUCUGAAAUGUUAAACCGUGUAUGACCACACACUGGAAAAGCUCUGAAAAGCAAAACCAAUUUUCCUGCUCCUGGCCAUUGUCAAUGACUGAUUUUCAAUACAGCACAGCAAGGGAGCUGCUCUGCCACAAAGCCCUAAUGAACAAUCAGGUUGUCUAUGUGUAAUUAAGUACGAUGUUCCUUGUGACAUGAAGUGAGCAUCCUUACAUCCUCAACAAUCCCUACUGAUUACUUGAUAUAGCUAAUAUCAGAGAUAAUGCUGGAUUACAAUCAUCCUUAUUUUCCUAAGAAUGGAAGCAGCUGAGAGGGAAGUACCCUCAGUACCCUUGAUAGGGAAUCUUCUUCCAUAAACAAAUAACUGAAAGCUGUGUCCUCCAGCUUUUCUACCAAUUAUUAUCACUCUUCUGCAAGAGGUUACCAGGCCCACAAGAGGGUCAGUAGAGUGGGACUUGGGAACUCUCUUCAACUAUUUCAAUUUAGUGUAAACCCACCUUCACUAGAGUGACCUACAAUGUUGGUACUGAGUCAGUCAUGGGAACCUAUUAUCUAAUAGGUGUAAGGGUAUAGAAUGCACACCAAGGUAUUUUAAGUAAUG
This 1178-nucleotide long non-coding RNA is filed under the name Anas platyrhynchos platyrhynchos (common mallard). RNAcentral describes it as "lncRNA (ENSAPLG00000030054.1)". The record is from RNAcentral. Lineage: Eukaryota; Metazoa; Chordata; Aves; Anseriformes; Anatidae.